Molecule: long non-coding RNA, 2476 nt
Filed under: Lynx pardinus (Iberian lynx)
Lineage: Eukaryota; Metazoa; Chordata; Mammalia; Carnivora; Felidae
Source: RNAcentral
GGGCACGCAAGUCAGAGAUGUUAAAGGAAGAGCUUCCUGAAUCGAACAUUUUAUAUUAGGUCAGACAUUCUGGAAGAUUCUGAGUGAAGUCGAGAACCUGAUGAACAUGGGUCUCACGCCAUGGGGCUCACAGACUCCCAGGGGAGAUAGACUCCGGGCAAGUACUUCUAUUAAAGCGUGUGGGCAACUAUUUCUUGGCUACAUGCAGGGCUGUUGGGACACACGUACUCCCUGCUCCCUCAGAGCCCUACUGAAUGCUUGCUGUGGGCCAGGCACCUGUAGUUAGGCCCGGGAACAGAGCAGUGAACAGAGCAAACAGUAAGCCCAGCCCAUAGGACUUACUUUCUAGGACAGAUGUUUGCCCCAAUGCCUCAUGCUGAAUGUGUGACAGGGGCACUGUCCUGCCCUGGCUGUCCACGUAAGCAAGAAAACCCUCCCCCCGAGUUAGAAGAAGGGGUGACCAAAGCCUGCUUGAAGGGCUCUGCCCUGGACCCCCUUACUCCUGGACUCACACAACGUCGUUAGAAAGUAGGUAUGGUAGCCCAGCCUUCUCCUGUGUGGACGGAGAACCAAAGAUGAGAGCACAUCCUUCGACUGACAUUUUAACCCACGGGGUCUGCGCACAUGGGCAAAGUUCCCGAUCCAGGUCCCGAACUCAGCUUGUGGGCCACCAGCUUGAAAUAUUACAAACGUUCAGGCUCCUAGAUGUCCAAAUAACAGCAGGAUACCCCGGGCUGAGAAGUCCACCCACUUCAGUACCAAACAGAGUACAAUGAAUGAGGCGACACUGACUCUUACGCACCCCUGCCGGUGCCUCCAUUAACGCCACGUUUGAGAGUGAAAUCUUUCUCAAAUUGAUUGGGACCCCUCAAAUCAUGGCGACCCUCAGCCUACAUUUUAUCACCCACUACUUACAUGGAAAGAAGCAGUGAGAGAGAAAGAUGUUGAUCCCACACCUACUCCCCCAUCGUCAAAGGCUAGUCCUGCCCCCUGCUCGUUACAGAGGGUCCUAGAUGCACCCUAGGAGCACGUCCGUGCACCCUCUUCUCUCCUGAGGCUGGGCUCAGGAGUUGUGGGAGGGGAGAGUUGCCAGAUAAACUACAGGAUACCCAGAUAAACUUGAAUUUCCACAAAUACUCGUUUAGUAUAAGUAUAUCCCAGGCAAUGUUUGGGAUAUACUUCCACUAAAAAAAUUUUUGUUGUUGUGUACGUAAUACUCAAGUUAUUUGAACAGGGGGCCCUAUAUUUUUAUUGUAAAUAGGGCCACCCAGGGAAGGGUAUAUAUGGUCCACACUCACGGGAGGGUCAGAAGAAAAGAAAGUUCAUCAAGCUGAAGGGAAGGCUAGCCAGGGCACCGGGGUGGCAGGAGCAGUGAGUUUGGUCAAAAGAGGAUUCAGAGAAGAGAGAACCGUGAGAUGGCUCCAGCUCAGCACCCCGGUGUCUGCUGUGUAAGCGAACCCAGGUUGGUCUGCUAAGGGGUUGGAGACAUCCGGUUCAGGUGCCACCAACACCAAGGUUGAUAGCCAGCCUAUUACAAAACUGUGAGGCCACCUAGACCAGUAGCCCAGCUGACCCGCCAGCUGACUGUCGAUGCUGAGCCGCGCCAAGGUCAGCCCGGCUCGGCCUGGGGCCAGAACCGCUCGGCUGGCCUGCAGGUUCCUGAGCUAACUCCCGGAUGGUUUGUUAUGCAGCAUAGGUAACCAGCGCAAAGACGGGGGGUUGGGGGGUGAUGGGACUUGGGAAUUCCAGACGGAGAAGACAGUGUGACAGAUUGAGGGUCCGAGCGCCCCGAUUUUCUGAGUUCUCCCCAGUCCUCUCCCCAAGGACUGACACAGCAGGUUUUGAGGUCCCUGCUCAUGCCUUCCAUCUCAGGAAUCUUCCAGCCCUGGAGAGCCAACUCAGCCGGGGAAAGAACCUGGCUCAAGGGCAACCAACGCUCCACCGGCUGACUGCCCAUGAGUAGCGUGGCCUGGACCAAUCAAGGCCUUCCUGGCAAUUUGUCAGAGCGCUGUGGGUUAGAGCUGCAGGGUCAUGGGUCUCUAAAGGCCAUGGAAAAGCAGAAGGAUGCUUAGAAGAAACGGAGUAGACUCACAGAGAGACGCAGAGUGGCCCAGGAGAGAGAAGGGGGAGAGAGUGGCCCUUCUCGCACUCAGCACGGCACCGGGAAUUUGCUGGUGAUCUCUGGGUCUAGGGAGCUGAAGACCCUCACUCCAGAACCUUCUCUCCUGCUUGAGCUCCGCCUCAACGCCGGUUCCUUUCUCUGCACUGAUUGACUUUCCUUGUCUGCAGUAACCCCAUUACCGGGGGGAUACCUACCAGACCAAGACUAGGCACCUGCCUCCCAAAUUCUGCUUCAUAAAGAAUUCAGGUUUAUGGAUUGAAUAUAGUUGAGGAGAGGCCACGUCAAAUCCCUCAUAAUAGAAUUGCAUUUUAGGAAUGACUUCAGCUAAUCAAUUAAACUUAAAAAUAUGUUUUG